CCCCAGUGUCAUGCAGUGACUUCCUGAGUGCCACCCAGGCUCGGAACAUCGCCUGCAACCUCUCUUAGCACACACAGUGCCUAAAAAAAACGGGAACCUUCAGGCACCUCCUAUUACUGACAGCCAUCCUCCGUGACUCAGGAAUCCGCUUCUGGAUGCUAGCGUGCAUUCCCGCUCCCUUUCCCUGCAGUGCACAGAAGAGAAACGGAGCUGAGUGCUGACACAGAACAGCAGCAGCAUGCAACCAGCUGACCAGGGUGAGGAUUAUUGUUUACUUCACGCCAGACACAGUGAAGUGCAGGCAGAGUAAAUCACAUGCCAUCCAAACCAGCUGGGAAGCAGCGGAGGUCAGCAGGGUCUGUGUGCUGUCCUGCACAUCCCACACCCUUGUCAGCUCUGCCUGUCUCAAGGAGGGUGCUUCUUCCCAAGUCUCUCAGUUACAGACCUGAACUUCAAACACCUCCAGUACACUCAGGGAGAGAACUCUGGCUGCCAAGACUCAUCCGUCCGUGCCUCUCUCAUCAACAUCCCCAUGCCUGCAUCUGGCUUCCUGGAAUCUGAGGGAAGGCAGAUUACUGCUCCAUGCUCCCUGUGUCCAUCAGGCUCCAUAAAAUCAAUCUCCACCCAAAUCACUGCUGAUCUUUCCUGCCAUCCCUUCUGGAUGAGCCAAAUGAGUGAGGAUGGAUGGAGUAAGGACUGGGCAGUGCUGGCCGUGUCUCUGCCACAUCCACGCGUGCUGUGCCUCCAGCAGGCACCCAACACACUCCCACCCUGCAAAACCCCAUUUCUGGGGGCUUCCAACCCAACCCUCUCAACCUCUGGAAAAGAAAAACAGAGGUAAUGCCUCAGGAACGUGCAGAGGACUGGGGUAAAGGUGCUGUUUCAUGACCAGAGGGCAGCUCUGAAGGGACCGGCUCAAGCCAGCGUGGCUGUGCGCCAGCACACACCAACCCCGUCCUUCUCCCAUGGUGACUGCAAAAAAAGAAGUCCAUUUGUCCUUUU
Cyanistes caeruleus (blue tit) is the source of this 1002-nucleotide non-coding RNA. The record is from RefSeq and is a predicted model, not a curated record. NCBI's taxonomy places the organism in Eukaryota, Metazoa, Chordata, Aves, Passeriformes, Paridae.